Molecule: transfer RNA, 85 nt
Filed under: Felis catus (domestic cat)
Lineage: Eukaryota; Metazoa; Chordata; Mammalia; Carnivora; Felidae
Rfam family: tRNA
About the family: Transfer RNA (tRNA) molecules are approximately 80 nucleotides in length. Their secondary structure includes four short double-helical elements and three loops (D, anti-codon, and T loops).
Source: Rfam by way of RNAcentral
ACCUGGGAGGCUCAGUCAGUUGAGCGUCUGACUUGGGCUCAGGUCAUGAUCUCACAGUUUGUGGGUUCAAACCCCACGUCAGGCU